This 425-nucleotide ribosomal RNA is filed under the name uncultured bacterium. Its description in RNAcentral is "partial 16S ribosomal RNA". It matches the Rfam family "Bacterial small subunit ribosomal RNA", at positions 354 to 796 of the family's 1533-position model. The record is from RNAcentral.
GUGGGGAAUAUUGGACAAUGGGCGCAAGCCUGAUCCAGCCAUGCCGCGUGAGUGAUGAAGGCCCUAGGGUUGUAAAGCUCUUUCACCGGAGAAGAUAAUGACGGUAUCCGGAGAAGAAGCCCCGGCUAACUUCGUGCCAGCAGCCGCGGUAAUACGAAGGGGGCUAGCGUUGUUCGGAAUUACUGGGCGUAAAGCGCACGUAGGCGGACAUUUAAGUCAGGGGUGAAAUCCCGGAGCUCAACUCCGGAACUGCCUUUGAUACUGGGUGUCUGGAGUAUGGAAGAGGUGAGUGGAAUUCCGAGUGUAGAGGUGAAAUUCGUAGAUAUUCGGAGGAACACCAGUGGCGAAGGCGGCUCACUGGCCCAAUACUGACGCUGAGGCGCGAAAGCGUGGGGAGCAAACAGGAUUAGAAACCCUAGUAGUCC